Danio rerio (zebrafish) is the source of this 1450-nucleotide non-coding RNA. The record is from RefSeq and is a predicted model, not a curated record. NCBI's taxonomy places the organism in Eukaryota, Metazoa, Chordata, Actinopteri, Cypriniformes, Danionidae.
UCAUUGUUUUAAAAUCCAAACAAACUGUAUUGUGGUCAGUAAAAUGAAAUAAAUAUUAUAAAAGACUUCAAGAUUGUAUUUAUCAUUACAGAAAAGUGUCAUGGGACCCAUAUUAAGUUUCCAAAUUUGAUCUGCUGCACACAAGUAGCUUUGAAGAAGAAGGAUCCCAGCUUAAAGAAAAACACGUCACAUCCAUAAUUGUUUGACAUCAUCUUCAAGCACACCUGGAUUCCUUGUUGCAAUGUCUUCAAAACAAAUGUAAAAAUGAAAGUAUUUCAGUGGUGAGCUCAUAUGAUGGGAUCAAAAGGAAGUGAACUGGACUCUGAGGGACUUAACACAAGAUUGUGAUGGACCUAGAAUGCGACAUCGUUUACGAAUAAGUCAAGAACCAAAUGAAACACUAUUUUCCAGAGCGCAGAUUAUGGAGGGGUCUGCAAAACUAAUGGAGCAGUUUCUUCUUCUUGGAGUGCCACAGCUUGAUGCUGCAUAUAAGGACUUAGUGAAGGACACAGAAACAUCUUUAAAAGAAAUGGUUUAAUAGAAGGGAAGGAAAGAAGAAAGUACUCAGCAUUGAAAUAUUGUCUUACAGAAAUCCAAAGAUCCUAACAGCUCUCCUGAUUCCGUCAAGGCUUGAAGUGUCAGCAUUACGAUGGCCAACACUCGCUCACUAUCCUUCUGCUCCCUCAUUUAUCAGAGGCACCGCAGUAGAAUGAAUUAGCAAUUACUCUUCACUUUCCAGCCGCAACCCAGCACUGGGAAACACCCAUACACCAUACGCCUGCACACAUUCACUUACUAUGGCCAAUUCACCAAUACCAAACGCAUGCCUUUGGACUGUGGGGGCAACUGGAGCACCCAGAGGAAACCCACACAAACACUGGGAGAACUUGCAAACUUCACACAGAAACACCAACUGACCCAGUCAGGACUCGAACCAGUGACCUUCUUGCUGUGAUGUGACAGUUCUAACCAGUGAGCCACUGUGCCACCCAUGGACAAAACUAUUUACGUUAUAAGAGAGGCCGGCGAACAUGGACAUGCUACAGGUUGUGGAGUGGCUGUUCUCAGUGUUUUGUCUAAUCAUUUUGCAAAGUUUUGUGUGCCAUUACGCACUUUCUUCAAUAACUUUUAUUGAAAAUUAUGUAUAAAAAUGGAUGUUGCCAUGACUAAUACAUACAUGUACCGUCAACUUGUUGAAAUUGUAGUGUUAUUUAAUAGAUGUUUGUGUAUUGUUUCUGUCUGCAUUGUAAUACAUUUUUCAUCAUUUUAGAGAUGUUUGAAAGUUAAGUUUUGUAUUUGUUCAAUCAGUAAACAAGCUUACAAAUGUUUAAUAAAAAGUGAAAUCAUUAGAAUUAGAUUGUUGAAUGCCAUUAAGCUGUUAAUUAUGUUUACUAAUUAAAUAGUAAAAAUGUAUAAUGUUUAGAGGUAGAUCUUAUACAACGUACGCAGA